This is a long non-coding RNA of Eptesicus fuscus (big brown bat), 266 nucleotides long. RefSeq lists it as uncharacterized. The record is from RefSeq and is a predicted model, not a curated record. The transcript has 3 exons. Lineage: Eukaryota; Metazoa; Chordata; Mammalia; Chiroptera; Vespertilionidae.
GGAGAUGUCAUCCCUGGAAAGCUGAGCUAACAAAAAUUACUGCAGGAACAAGUUUGGAAUAUUUUGAAGUUCCUAUGGAUGUUGUGAAAUCAGAAGGAGGAAAUCUUAACCGCCAUUGUAGACCAUAUAAGCCAGCUGGAAUAUUUGUGAUGGGCCCUCCUGUAUUAGUGACUUCAUCAUGAGAGAAUCUUUAUCAACAAAGGGAAUUUCAUUACCAAGGUUGACAUUGAAUGUAACUGAAGGAGCAGCGGCAUCUUGUGAAGGGU